GACGAACGCUGGCGGCGUGCUUAACACAUGCAAGUCGAAUGGACAGGCCCUGCUUUUGUGGGGUGCUCGAGUGGCGAACGGGUGAGUAACACGCGAGUAACCUGCCCUUGUCUUUGGGAUAUCUUCAGGGAACUGGGGCUAAUACCGGAUAGGAGCUCCUGCUGCAUGGUGGGGGUUGGAAAGUUUCGGCGGUUGGGGAUGGACUCGAGGCUUAUCAGCUUGUUGGGCUGGUAGUUGCUUACCAAGGGUUCGACGGGUAGGCGGCCUGGGAGGGGGACCGGGCACAAGGGGACUGAGAGAGGGCCCAGACGCCUACGGGAGGCAGCAGUGGGGAAUAUUGCACAAUGGGCGGAAGCCUGAUGCAGCAACGUCGCGUGCGGGAUGACGGCCUUCGGGGUGUAAACCGCUGUCGCCUGUGACGAAGCGGGAGUGACGGUAAUGGGUAAAGAAGCACCGGCUAACUACGUG
RNAcentral lists this ribosomal RNA (468 nucleotides) under uncultured bacterium. Its description in RNAcentral is "partial 16S ribosomal RNA". It matches the Rfam family "Bacterial small subunit ribosomal RNA", at positions 28 to 507 of the family's 1533-position model. The record is from RNAcentral.